Molecule: transfer RNA, 72 nt
Filed under: Plutella xylostella (diamondback moth)
Lineage: Eukaryota; Metazoa; Arthropoda; Insecta; Lepidoptera; Plutellidae
Description: tRNA-Ser
Source: RNAcentral
GCCGAAUGGCGUAGUGGUUAGUGAGCCUGACUACUGAGCCGAUGGUCCCGGGUUCCAUUCCCGGCUGGGGCA